Microcebus murinus (gray mouse lemur) is the source of this 2500-nucleotide non-coding RNA. NCBI's taxonomy places the organism in Eukaryota, Metazoa, Chordata, Mammalia, Primates, Cheirogaleidae. The record is from RefSeq and is a predicted model, not a curated record.
UCGGUGCUCGGCCCGGGCCCUCCCCGCGCGGCCUCGCGCUGUCUGGGCCCGGCCGCGUCUGCUCCCGAGCGGCGACGCGGGCACAGCGUGACUCAGGAGUUCGGAGAGACGUGUCAGGUGAAGGGCACGCAGUGUAAUCAAGGUCCAAAGAAGCGAUGCCAGUGAUGGAUAAAUGAAGCAUGGAAUGAUUAAGUGACUACACCAAGAUUGGACAGAGAUUAAGAGGCAAAGCCAGAAUCUUAAUCCCUAAAGCCUGGUUUGGUUGUCAAAACUGCAAGGAGGUUUCCACCUAGGUCCAGUUGCUUGUCACACAAAGAUCCAGUUAUUGAGACAACGAGGAUUGCCAAAGAAGAAAGGAAUUUUUAAUAUGGUGGAGCUGCCUCAGAUGUCUCCCCAGCUAAAGGUCACCAAGGGUUUUAAAGGAGGGGCCCCUGCCUUGGGGCAGGUCAUGGUGUAACUGACUGGAGGCUGCAGGCAUUGAGAGCAGGUUGUGAGGAUGGUGAAUCUUGGCAUCAGGAACUCUGCCCUUGGGGCCUUCAGAAUCUCACCUCCUUUGUCUGGUGGAAAAUCCACCAUUUCUGGGAAAAAACUCAAAAAGUCAAAUACUUAGUUAAGGAAGAGGAUUAUAAAAAUACAUUUAUAAGUCAUUGAAAUUCUUUCAUCUAGCAGAUUAUAGUUUCAGGCUCUUAACCAUUAAUUAAUGCUCUCUUUUUCACUUCUCAUUAUAGUGACCUAAUCAAAAUUAUUAUAUAAUCGUAUGUGGAAGAUGGGUGGGCAUGAGAAAUAUUCAGAUGUGUGAUGGUAGCAGAGGUAGAGAUGGUGGUGGUAAAAAAAGAGCCUCAUAUUCAUCUUCUAUAAUAGCAAGUCAAUAGAUAAUGUUCCAAACUGAAAAUAAAAAUCAAGAAUAGCAACAUAUGCAUGCUAUUUGGAGAAAUGUAGGUUUAAAAAUGUCAGCUAAAAAGCAGAGUGUAGAAAAUGUGUGUGUGGUGCGAAGGUGCUAGUUUUCUUCCUGAUACUUGUGGAGCUAUUUGACUUUUUAAUCUAUAUGGAUAGAUAGAUUUGAUUUAAAAGUAAAAACUAUAUAAGAAGUAAGAGCAAAAACUUUUUCCAUUUGGUGUUUGAAGUCUGAGAAAGUUGAGUAUAAAACAGGCUGUAAUUCAGGUCUCUGCACAUUCCAUUACUUCCAUACAACUUAGCCUCCAACACCAAAAAAGAAAGAGAACAUAUUUUGGUAAAUUAAGUGGGUAAUGUGCUAAGUGCACAGUGGGCAUUCUCAUGGUUGUGAUUACUAACCUGUUACUUGACUCUUGCUGAAUUUUUGUCCCCAUUAAAUUGGAUUUCCAUUUAGCAACUUUGGUAUGUACUGAGUUUGAAUUUACAACUCUUUAGGAGAGGGAGAGGAUAGGACUCAACUUUACCACUUAUAAUUGUUAGGUUUACUUAGAGUGGGAACCCCAAAAAUAUGUAUAGGACGUAAUACUUAGAUAGUGAUCAUAAAGCCUGUGAAACAAAAGCUGCAGGAGUCUGGAGAGUCCGGAAGUUAUAAAUCUAACAGACAGCUACGACAGCAUUCCUAUUUCUGCUAAUAAGGAGGAAGUUACUACCUCCCUCCUCUAUCUCUGCAGGUGUUGCUCACUUCUCCUGCAAAACCCUCUAUUAAACCCAAGGCUUUCCCCUCCCUCGUAGUAGACACUCUUUUGGCCUCCACCCAUCUACACCCAGAUAUUCAAAAUAAACAACAUUUUGCUACACCUGAGACUUGAUAUGUCUCCCUCUUGACGACACUGGACCUAACACAAGAAUUAGUAUUACUAUUGUAGGAGAGAGCAGGCCCUAGUGUCACGCAAGAGAGAGGUCUAAAAGAGAUCCUAUGUGGGGGUGUUUGAUGCACAAACUGGAACUCAAGAAAAGUUUAGAUACUUGUAGCUCUAACGUCAUGUAUCCAACAGAAACAGCGAGAACCAAAGGGCGCCAUGAACAAUUGAAGGCUGAAUACUGGGCAUCCUACAAAUAGAGAAGAGAGGAAAGUCUGCCUCAUUUCAUAAUUUUGUCGCAUCUGUUCUGCAAAUUAAGGGCUUUUAAAGCCUGGGCAUAAUGCGAACCAAUCCAAAGAACCAAAACUGGAGGACCAGAGAAAAGAGAUGUGAGUUUAUUCAGAGAACGCACAUGCCAGGGCACUGGUGGCAGCAGGCUGGGCAGUUCUCUGUGCUGCACCCAGAGACAGCCAGUGGUUAUAUAGGCAAAGAGACAUCAACUUGGGGGAUGGGGUGUGCAUCACCAGGUAUGGUGGGGCCGUCCUCCAUAAAGGUCAGCACGGUCUAAGUCUUGCACCAGGGGAAGGGGCGGGGGCAGUGCCCUGUGGAUUUCUUUGUUUUAGCUUUCUUUUUUUUUUUUUUUUUUUUUAAACUCUUUGGGCCUCCUUGAGCUGGAUUGGUGCCAGGAACUUCAGUUACCCCACAGGAUCUUAAAAGGUACAUUAUCCUUUUUUCCACCUCAGAAA